AAAGUAGGGAAGCACGCGAGCUGACUGUCAAGAAAAGCCGCUAUUGUUUGCAGGAUACCCGUACCGUAAACCGACACAGGUGGAUGAGGAGAGAAUCCUAAGGCCGACGGGAGAAGCAUUGUUAAGGAACUCGGCAAAAUGACUCCGUAACUUCGGGAGAAGGAGUGCCAGUAAGAUGGCCGCAGAGAAUUGGCCCAAGCAACUGUUUAGCAAAAACACAGGUCUAUGCAAAACCGAAAGGUGAGGUAUAUGGGCUGACGCCUGCCCGGUGCUGGAAGGUUAAGGGGAGAGGUUAGCGCAAGCGAAGCUUUGAACUUAAGCCCCAGUAAACGGCGGCCGUAACAAUAACGGUCCUAAGGUAGCGAAAUUCCUUGUCGGGUAAGUUCCGACCCGCACGAAAGGCGUAAUGAUUUGGGCACUGUCUCAACAAUGCACCCGGUGAAAUUGAAAUACCAGUGAAGAUGCUGGUUACCUGCGCCAGGACGGAAAGACCCCAUGGAGCUUUACUCCAGCUUGAUACUGGGAUUCGGUAUUGCAUGUACAGGAUAGGUGGGAGGCUAGGAAAUGGUAACGCCAGUUGCCAUGGAGCCAAUGUUGGGAUACCACCCUUGCAGUACUGGGUUUCUAACCAGCAGCCGUGAUCCGGCUGGGGGACAAUGUCAGGUGGGGAGUUUGACUGGGGCGGUCGCCUCCGAAAGGGUAUCGGAGGCGCUCAAAGGUUCCCUCAGAAUGGUUGGAAACCAUUCGAAGAGUGCAAAGGCAGAAGGGAGCUUGACUGCGACACCGACGGGUGGAGCAGGUACGAAAGUAGGACUUAGUGAUCCGGUGGUAUAAAGUGGGAUUGCCAUCGCUCAACGGAUAAAAGCUACCCUGGGAUAACAGGCUUAUCACUCCCAAGAGUUCACAUCGACGGAGUGGUUUGGCACCUCGAUGUCGGCUCAUCGCAUCCUGGGGCUGAAGUAGGUCCCAAGGGUUGGGCUGUUCGCCCAUUAAAGCGGUACGCGAGCUGGGUUCAGAACGUCGUGAGACAGUUCGGUCCCUAUCCGGCGUGGGCGUAAGAUAUUUGAGAGGAGCUGUCCUUAGUACGAGAGGACCGGGAUGGACUGGCCGCUGGUGUAUCUGUUGUCUUACCAAAGGCAUAGCAGAGUAGCCAAGCCGGGAAGGGAUAAACGCUGAAGGCAUCUAAGCGUGAAGCCCCCCUCAAGAUGAGAUAUCUCAUAACGUCAAGUUAGUAAGACCCCUUGAAGACGACGAGGUAGAUAGGGCAGAGGUGGAAGUGUGGUAACACAUGGAGCUGACUGUUACUAAUAGGUCGAGGGCGUAAUCAA
Molecule: ribosomal RNA, 1328 nt
Filed under: metagenome
Description: bacterial LSU rRNA
Rfam family: Bacterial large subunit ribosomal RNA
Source: RNAcentral